GCGGCGGUGGCGGAAUUGGCAGACGCGCUAGAUUCAGGAUCUAGUGGGUGUACGCUCGUGGGGGUUCAAGUCCCUUCCGCCGCACCA
This 87-nucleotide transfer RNA is filed under the name Syntrophomonadaceae bacterium. RNAcentral describes it as "tRNA-Leu". It matches the Rfam family "tRNA". Rfam says of the family: Transfer RNA (tRNA) molecules are approximately 80 nucleotides in length. Their secondary structure includes four short double-helical elements and three loops (D, anti-codon, and T loops). Further hydrogen bonds mediate the characteristic L-shaped molecular structure. tRNAs have two regions of fundamental functional importance: the anti-codon, which is responsible for specific mRNA codon recognition, and the 3' end, to which the tRNAs corresponding amino acid is attached (by aminoacyl-tRNA synthetases). tRNAs cope with the degeneracy of the genetic code in two manners: having more than one tRNA (with a specific anti-codon) for a particular amino acid; and 'wobble' base-pairing, i.e. permitting non-standard base-pairing at the 3rd anti-codon position. The record is from RNAcentral. Lineage: Bacteria; Bacillati; Bacillota; Clostridia; Eubacteriales; Syntrophomonadaceae.